CACAGGGUUGCCAAAGGGCCCAGAAUGUCUUCCAUUCACCUCCACCACAGGGUUUCCAAAGGGCCAAGGAUUUCUUCAAUUCACCUCCACCACAGGGUUUCCAAAGAGCCCAAAAUGGAGUUAACCCAUAUUCAAUGAAAGCAGGUGCUCCAAUUAGCAAAUAUUCAGGUUAUCCAGGUACAACUACCAAAGCUGGGCCUGGAAUAUCAGACACUGCCCUGGCUCACAUGCUCAGACCUCUCUCACCGAUGUGUGUGCCGGAAGAUGAUGGUGAAUGGGACUCUGGUUGGGAUCACAUGUCCUCCCCUGGGACUUCUACAUGUGUUGACUCUUCCCCUAGACAUUUUAAGGCUUUUUUAGGUACUACAUGAUUUAAUCCAGCUCACCUUUUUGCCACAACAAUCCAAAUUAAUCUAUUUUAGUCAAUGUAAUUCUGAGGUUGAUAUAAGUGCACCUUUUCAACAGUAAACUAUGUUUGUGGUAAGGGAUGUCAUUAAUUUUCUCUUUCUCACAUAGGCUAUUUUGCCAGAAAAAAAGGAUGCAGUGGAGCAUAGCAUACUUAGAAAAAAUAAAUAAACUCAAGCAUCUUGUGCUUAUAAUACUUCUUAUGAAAUCCAAUGAGACAAAGUUUGCUUAUGCCUGUUAUUUAUUCAUUGUAACUACAGUAGAUGUUAAACCAGCACUCCCACACUAUCAGUCCAUUGGAUACCAAAGAUACCAA
This is a long non-coding RNA of Coregonus clupeaformis (lake whitefish), 721 nucleotides long. RefSeq lists it as uncharacterized. The transcript has 3 exons. The record is from RefSeq and is a predicted model, not a curated record. NCBI's taxonomy places the organism in Eukaryota, Metazoa, Chordata, Actinopteri, Salmoniformes, Salmonidae.